Small nuclear RNA from Suricata suricatta (meerkat), 103 nucleotides. NCBI's taxonomy places the organism in Eukaryota, Metazoa, Chordata, Mammalia, Carnivora, Herpestidae. The record is from Ensembl.
GUGCUCGCUUCAGCAGUACAUAUACAAAAUUGGAACGAUACAGAGAAGAUUAGCAUGGCCCCUGUGCAAGGGAAAAGAUAUCUGUAAAAUGACAUAUCUGAUA